This 427-nucleotide ribosomal RNA is filed under the name uncultured bacterium. RNAcentral describes it as "partial 16S ribosomal RNA". It matches the Rfam family "Bacterial small subunit ribosomal RNA", at positions 355 to 774 of the family's 1533-position model. The record is from RNAcentral.
UGGGGAAUAUUGCACAAUGGGCGCAAGCCUGAUGCAGCCAUGCCGCGUGUAUGAAGAAGGCCUUCGGGUUGUAAAGUACUUUCAGCGGGGAGGAAGGUGUUGUGGUUAAUAACCACAGCAAUUGACGUUACCCGCAGAAGAAGCACCGGCUAACUCCGUGCCAGCAGCCGCGGUAAUACGGAGGGUGCAAGCGUUAAUCGGAAUUACUGGGCGUAAAGCGCACGCAGGCGGUCUGUCAAGUCGGAUGUGAAAUCCCCGGGCUCAACCUGGGAACUGCAUCCGAAACUGGCAGGCUUGAGUCUUGUAGAGGGGGGUAGAAUUCCAGGUGUAGCGGUGAAAUGCGUAGAGAUCUGGAGGAAUACCGGUGGCGAAGGCGGCCCCCUGGACAAAGACUGACGCUCAGGUGCGAAAGCGUGGUGAGCAAACA